This 345-nucleotide unclassified non-coding RNA is filed under the name soil metagenome. RNAcentral's name for it is "partial contains 5.8S ribosomal RNA, internal transcribed spacer 2, and large subunit ribosomal RNA". The stretch from base 1 to 119 matches the Rfam family "5.8S ribosomal RNA", at positions 35 to 154 of the family's 154-position model. The record is from RNAcentral.
GAUGAAGAACGCAGCGAAAUGCGAUACGUAAUGUGAAUUGCAAAUUCAGUGAAUCAUCGAGUCUUUGAACGCACAUUGCGCCCCCUGGUAUUCCGGGGGGCAUGCCUGUCCGAGCGUCAUUGCUGCCCUCAAGCACGGCUUGUGUGUUGGGCCCCGUCCUCCGAUCCCGGGGGACGGGCCCGACAGGCAGCGGCGGCACCGCGUCCGGUCCUCGAGCGUAUGGGGCUUUGUCACCCGCUCUGUAGGCCCGGCCGGCGCUUGCCGAUCAACCCAAAUUUUUAUCCAGGUUGACCUCGGAUCAGGUAGGGAUACCCGCUGAACUUAAGCAUAUCAAUAAGCGGAGGA